RNAcentral lists this ribosomal RNA (791 nucleotides) under uncultured Sulfitobacter sp. RNAcentral's name for it is "bacterial SSU rRNA". It matches the Rfam family "Bacterial small subunit ribosomal RNA", at positions 23 to 861 of the family's 1533-position model. The record is from RNAcentral. Lineage: Bacteria; Pseudomonadati; Pseudomonadota; Alphaproteobacteria; Rhodobacterales; Roseobacteraceae.
CUCAGAACGAACGCUGGCGGCAGGCCUAACACAUGCAAGUCGAGCGCUACCUUCGGGUGGAGCGGCGGACGGGUUAGUAACGCGUGGGAACAUACCCUUUUCUACGGAAUAGCCUCGGGAAACUGAGAGUAAUACCGUAUAAGCCCUUCGGGGGAAAGAUUUAUCGGGAAAGGAUUGGCCCGCGUUAGAUUAGAUAGUUGGUGGGGUAAUGGCCUACCAAGUCUACGAUCUAUAGCUGGUUUUAGAGGAUGAUCAGCAACACUGGGACUGAGACACGGCCCAGACUCCUACGGGAGGCAGCAGUGGGGAAUCUUAGACAAUGGGCGAAAGCCUGAUCUAGCCAUGCCGCGUGAGUGAUGAAGGUCUUAGGAUCGUAAAGCUCUUUCGCUAGGGAUGAUAAUGACAGUACCUAGUAAAGAAGCCCCGGCUAACUCCGUGCCAGCAGCCGCGGUAAUACGGAGGGGGCUAGCGUUGUUCGGAAUUACUGGGCGUAAAGCGUACGUAGGCGGAUCAGAAAGUAUGGGGUGAAAUCCCAGGGCUCAACCCUGGAACUGCCUCAUAAACUCCUGGUCUUGAGUUCGAGAGAGGUGAGUGGAAUUGCGAGUGUAGAGGUGAAAUUCGUAGAUAUUCGCAGGAACACCAGUGGCGAAGGCGGCUCACUGGCUCGAUACUGACGCUGAGGUACGAAAGUGUGGGGAGCAAACAGGAUUAGAUACCCUGGUAGUCCACACCGUAAACGAUGAAUGCCAGACGUCGGGCAGUAUACUGUUCGGUGUCACACCUAACGGAUU